GUUCGAAUACCUCUGACAACAGCCCAUCUGUUCAAUACGUAACUAUUUAAUUAAGUAAAUUCCUGCAUGUCUAAUUAGCUCCUGUGAGUAGUUCAUAGGCCUCGUUCCCUUUCGCAGAGCUGGGGUUCUAGGAUUCCACGGAGUAGCAGAGACCUCUGCAGCCUUCUGGGGAAAUGUGCUGUGUUUCCGCAGCAUUCUGACCACAAUGCCAGAAGACAAUACGGAAUUACUCAGUACAUGAAGCACCAGGAAGAUGACAACAGAAGAGAGAGGACCCAGACAUUGGAAUCAGCAGCCACCAGGUGCAAUCUCCAACAUGUGCGGGCUUUGGGAAAACACAAUCGGGCAAGUGAAGUUUGUUGCAGACAAGUUCUUCUUCCCCUCUGCCACAACCUCCUCCAAGGUUACAGGGAGAGCACCCUGUCUGUGAAGAAGCAGGUUCUCAUCUGAUACCAAAUCUGCUGGCACCUUGAUCUUGGACUUCCCAGACUCCAGGACUGAAGAUCACAGAUUGACAUCAGCAGGAAAACUUGCCAGGCAGCAGGAGGAUCCAUUUGAAAACUCACGAGAAAAAGGCCCUUGAGGCCUUUUUCCUGGUUAUUGAAGACAUCUUAGGAAACACUUAUGGUGACAAUUAAUCAAGCAAAAAUAGAUCCAGUUUUUCUGAAGAUCAAGCUUAACAUGUGUGCCAUGCUUUAAAAUGUCUUUCCAGGCACUCUCUCCUGCCCACGGAUCUUGCUUGGGAAAGGAAUGGGGCAAGUGGAAAUGGCCAUUUCUUAGAUGAACACAUCAGGGACUUGCUCCAGUCUGAAGUCUAUACAGAGCUAGGCUUUGAAUCCAGUCACGUAACUGCAUAGCAGCAAAUCAGCCUUUCAGAAUAUUGCAGGAUCAGCAAUGAAAUUCCCUUUGCCAGAGAAAUGGACAAACAAGGAAGCAACAAUGGUGAUGGUGGAAGUGUUCUUCAAGUCUAAGUUUGGGUUCUAGAAACAUCUGGCCAAAUAACGUCUUUCACAACUAAAAUAGAAUAUAAAGAAGCCAUUUGACCUGCCUCAGUUAUCAUGGUCAUCAUGACAAGCUGCAGCAGGACAAAUCAGCUUAACAAUUUCGGAAACUGCCAGAAAUGCUAUUUGGAUUAAUUUUUAUUUGGGAGUUGGCUAAAACUGGUCACAUCCCCAAAUACCUCAAGAUAAACAACAUAGCAUUAUCAUACAAAUCUAUAUUCACCAAAUUAGGUUAAAAUAGGCUGUUUUGAGAAGGUUGAAUUUUUUUAUGGGGAUUAUUCCCAAAAUACGUUUAGACACAAGAAGUUCAACUUUUCUUUUUUCCAUAUUUGAUGUCAAUCAAACUAAUUACUACAUGUUUGGAAUUGCAUUAAUUGUAUUCUUCAGUUACCUAUAAAAUUUAAUUAUCAUGUCUUUAUGGAAAUUUUAAUAUCAGAUAUAAAGAAUGGCAUAUUUAAAAUGACAUUUUAAUACUUUAUAAGAAGCAACAGAAAUUCGACUUCCAAAGCACCUCUCAGUACUACCAUUGGAGUACAUCUAUAUUUUUCUGUCAGAAUACUAUCCAAAGCAAGCAUAAGUAAUCCUUAUUUUCACGAUACAUUGAUGCUCAAAAGUUGUGUGUUCAGCAUGUCUACAAAGUAAAUUACCGUAUAUUUGAAACAGCAGACUAAAACUGAAGUAACAUCUGGAAAAAAUUGCCCUAAUUGCUAGCCCCUAAAUUCAUCUGACCUUGACACUCUCAUCUGAAUUUAAAAGUGUUUUAAAUUCUUAGCCAAUCAAUUCAAGCCAGAACUGAAUUCAUAUGUCUUCAGAAACUGCUAAUCUAGAACAAUGUAACUAGAAUAGAUUCCUGAUCAAACUUUGGUUUUGUUCAGGUAUCCACUCAUUUCCUAGGUGACCCAGAGGCCACAACUCACAACUCCACCCCUUCCCGUGGCUGGUCCAGGCUGUGCAGAUCUUGUAGUCACAAAGUCCUGGCAAUGGGCUGGGGGUGGGAUCUGACCUAGUGCUGACCAACAUGUCAAAAACAGAUGGCUGCAGAACCCUCUGGAAAAGCUUCCCUCAUUCUUAAGGAAUCCUGUGAAGAGAUGGUCUGUUUCUGUCCUGUUCCCUGGAUGUCAAAUGUCUGGGUUUGAGACCCAGAACUCCUGAAGCCAUCUCACAACUACAAGGGGAGCAGAUGUAGCCACUGAGGAUGGCCAAGCAGAGGGAGGGAGGACCUUUCCUGCCAGCAUCGCCAGCGGCUGAAUCACAGCCCAGAACCCCACAGCACCCUAAACGUCCUCUUAACAAAUGUAAUACGUUGUCUUACUGUUUGUGCCUGUGUGAAAAGUCCUCUUUGCUUGCAGUGAAGGCAUCCUAGUUGAUAAACAUGAAAUUUGAAAAUUGGAGAUUUCUUGGAACCAACA
Molecule: long non-coding RNA, 2410 nt
Filed under: Homo sapiens (human)
Lineage: Eukaryota; Metazoa; Chordata; Mammalia; Primates; Hominidae
Description: HSALNT0400112
Source: RNAcentral